Molecule: ribosomal RNA, 443 nt
Filed under: uncultured bacterium
Lineage: Bacteria
Description: partial 16S ribosomal RNA
Rfam family: Bacterial small subunit ribosomal RNA
Source: RNAcentral
CCUACGGGUGGCUGCAGUGGGGAAUAUUGCACAAUGGGCGAAAGCCUGAUGCAGCAACGCUGCGUGAAGGAAGAAGGGUUUCGGCUCGUAAACUUCUAUCAACAGGGACGAAAGAAAUGACGGUACCUGAAUAAUAAGCCACGGCUAACUACGUGCCAGCAGCCGCGGUAAUACGUAGGGGGCAAGCGUUAUCCGGAUUUACUGGGUGUAAAGGGUGUGUAGGCGGCAGUGUAAGUCAGAUGUGAAAGCUUUGGGCUUAACCCAAGGACUGCAUUUGAAACUGUACAUCUUGAGUCCAGGAGAGGAAAGCGGAAUUCCGAGUGUAGCGGUGAAAUGCGUAGAUAUUAGGAGGAACACCAGUGGCGAAGGCGGCUUGCUGGACUGUAACUGACGCUGAGGCGCGAAAGCGUGGGGAGCGAACAGGAUUAGAUACCCGGGUAGUC